CUUAUGAAAUAACUCCGAGCCAUUUGGCCUGCCUCCUUCUUGGAAAUGGCCUCUGGCCCUCAGGGUUGGGCUGGAAACGGUUUAGCCUCCCGAGUUUGGAAAGGAGUAUUAAUGACAUUCUG
Molecule: non-coding RNA, 122 nt
Filed under: Desulfobacterales bacterium
Lineage: Bacteria; Pseudomonadati; Thermodesulfobacteriota; Desulfobacteria; Desulfobacterales
Description: MoCo sequence
Rfam family: Molybdenum/Tungsten riboswitch aptamer (Moco RNA motif)
Source: RNAcentral